RNAcentral lists this ribosomal RNA (717 nucleotides) under uncultured Staphylococcus sp. Its description in RNAcentral is "bacterial SSU rRNA". It matches the Rfam family "Bacterial small subunit ribosomal RNA", at positions 68 to 768 of the family's 1533-position model. The record is from RNAcentral. Lineage: Bacteria; Bacillati; Bacillota; Bacilli; Caryophanales; Staphylococcaceae.
AACAGACGAGGAGCUUGCUCCUCUGACGUUAGCGGCGGACGGGUGAGUAACACGUGGAUAACCUACCUAUAAGACUGGGAUAACUUCGGGAAACCGGAGCUAAUACCGGAUAAUAUAUUGAACCGCAUGGUUCAAUAGUGAAAGACGGUUUUGCUGUCACUUAUAGAUGGAUCCGCGCCGCAUUAGCUAGUUGGUAAGGUAACGGCUUACCAAGGCAACGAUGCGUAGCCGACCUGAGAGGGUGAUCGGCCACACUGGAACUGAGACACGGUCCAGACUCCUACGGGAGGCAGCAGUAGGGAAUCUUCCGCAAUGGGCGAAAGCCUGACGGAGCAACGCCGCGUGAGUGAUGAAGGUCUUCGGAUCGUAAAACUCUGUUAUUAGGGAAGAACAAAUGUGUAAGUAACUAUGCACGUCUUGACGGUACCUAAUCAGAAAGCCACGGCUAACUACGUGCCAGCAGCCGCGGUAAUACGUAGGUGGCAAGCGUUAUCCGGAAUUAUUGGGCGUAAAGCGCGCGUAGGCGGUUUUUUAAGUCUGAUGUGAAAGCCCACGGCUCAACCGUGGAGGGUCAUUGGAAACUGAAGAACUUGAGUGCAGAAGAGGAAAGUGGAAUUCCAUGUGUAGCGGUGAAAUGCGCAGAGAUAUGGAGGAACACCAGUGGCGAAGGCGACUUUCUGGUCUGUAACUGACGCUGAUGUGCGAAAGCGUGGGGAU